CGUUCACUAAUGCUGGUGGAGCAAAUUGGAUCUGUCUGCUUAAAGAGACCACACUUUUCUUUGCAAAACAAAGCAAAGGUUUCCAUUGCUUGAAUCCCACUUUCCAAGCCAGUGUUUCCACGAUGACACUACAGAGUCACAAAUUGCUUUGUUGCUAGGCUGCAUGGAUCGCUGAGUUUGUGGCUGCAUUCAGAAAAAGAUGGCUACUUGUGGGAUUGUGCCAUGUGGCUCAGCAACAGAGCAGCCUGUCAUCCCCUCCCCACUGAAUUCUAGAGAUCUUUGAAAGAUCUUCUUUGGGAAACAGCUGUGCAGCUUCCCUACACAGAGGGUGCAUGGCGCCAUCUGGAAAGCAGGCAUCAUUUUGGGAAUGGCCAUAAUGAACUGUGGCCUGGUUGAUGAUGAUGCCUGGUUCUGGAGUAUCUGUCCUCCUUUUCUGACCUCCUGAGCUCUGGAGAUCUUAGAAAGACAUUUAUAAUCUGUUCAGUGUAAUGGGGAGAAGGAAUAACGCUUGAGGAACAAGAGGAGACCAAUACAAUGCUGGAUUCCAACAGAGAAGCUUCAAGAUACAUACCUGGAAUAUUACCCAAGAAAAAUAAAGGAUUAGAAUUUUCCAAGAGAAAGAGGGUGUCUUCUCCCAGAUAUCUAAGAGGUGAACUUUUCCCGUAAGCA
Molecule: long non-coding RNA, 669 nt
Organism: Crotalus tigris (Tiger rattlesnake)
Lineage: Eukaryota; Metazoa; Chordata; Lepidosauria; Squamata; Viperidae
Exons: 4
Source: RefSeq, a predicted model, not a curated record